RNAcentral lists this ribosomal RNA (2969 nucleotides) under Ardenticatenaceae bacterium. RNAcentral describes it as "23S ribosomal RNA". It matches the Rfam family "Bacterial large subunit ribosomal RNA". The record is from RNAcentral. Lineage: Bacteria; Bacillati; Chloroflexota; Ardenticatenia; Ardenticatenales; Ardenticatenaceae.
ACGAAAGCUACAACAGGCACAAGGUGGAUGCCUAGGCGACAGUGACCGACGAAGGACGCGGUAGGCUGCGAAAAGCCAGGAGGAGGGGCCAGCACCCGUGAGACUCCUGGAUCUCCGAAUGGGGCAACCCGGCGGGGUCAACCCCCGUCACGCCCGGCUGAAUCCAUAGGCCGGGGCGAGGGCACCCGGGGAAUUGAAACAUCUCAGUACCCGGAGGAACAGAGACCAUUCCCAUAGUAGUGGCGAGCGAACUGGGAGGAGCCUAAACCGCGUGCGUGCCAAGCCCACCGGCGUUGCGCACGCGGGGUUGCGAGGCUGACCAUCCGGCGACGGUGGUCGCGGGCGGCAGUUACCAAGCGGGCGGGUAGCCGAAUGGACUGGAAGGUCCAACCAGAGCGGGUGAGAGUCCCCUCGGCGACACCCGGGCCGUCUGUCGGGUCAGUGCUCGAGUACCACGGGGCACGCUAAUCCCGUGGGAAGCAGGGACGCCCACGUCCCAAGGCUAAAUAUCACUGUCGACCGAUAGUGGAGCAGUACCGUGAGGGAAAGGUGAAAAGCACCCCGGUGAGGGGAGUGAAACAGGUCCUGAACCCUUGUGUCGACAACCCGUCAGCGACCCAGGCCUCCUCGGAGGCGGGUCCAUGGCGUGCCUUUGGAGAAUGACCCAGCGAGUUCCGUCUACGUGGCCAGGCCAAGGAGUCAGCACCCCAAGCCGCAGCGAAAGCGAGUCUGAAGAGGGCGCGCGAGUCACGUGGAGGAGACCCGAAACCGAGUGAGCUGCCCAUGGCCAGGGUGAAGCGCGUUUAAGCGCGCGUGGAGGCCCGCACCGGUGUCCGUUGCAAAGGGCUCGGAUGAGCUGUGGGAAGCGGUGAAAUGCCAAACGAACUCGGCGAUAGCUGGUUCUCCCGAAAUCGCUUGCGGGCGAGCCUCGAGUCAGAGGCUGCCGGAGGUAGAGCACUGAGUCGGUGCGGGCCCAGUGCGGGUACCAAGCCGAGCCAAACUCCGAAUGCCGGCAGCCGCGCUCGGGAGUUGGCGUCUGGGGGAUGAGCUUCAGACGCGAAAGGGAAACAGCCCAGACCGCCCGCUAAGGUCCCCAAGUCUCCGCUCAGUGGGAAAGGCAGUGGGAUGACCCCGACAGCCAGGAGGUUGGCUUAGAAGCAGCCAUCCUUGAAAGAGUGCGUAAUAGCUCACUGGUCGAGUCGUCCUGCGCCGACAAUGUCACGGGGCUAAGCGGAGCACCGAGGCGGCGGAUCACACGCGGGUGUGAUGGUAGGGGAGCGUUCCGGGGGCCGAGAAGCCCGAGCGGGAGCCCGGGUGGAGCGUCCGGAAGUGAGAAUGCUGGGAUGAGUAGCGUCAAGUGUGUGCGAAUCACACUCACCGAAUGUCUCAGGGUUCCGACGGAAGGGUCGUCCCCGUCGGGUUAGUCGGGCCUUAGCCGAGGGCGCCAGCCGUAGGCGAUGGACAACAGGUCAAUAGUCCUGUACCAGGGAUGAGGAGUGAAGCGGGGACGCGGCCGGAUAGACGAGCCGGGCGGUGGUUGUCCCGGUGCCAAGCGUGUAGGUCGGCGACGGGGGGUGGCAAAUCCCCUCCCUGAGACCGAGGCGUGAUGGCGGGCCUGCGGGCCAGAAGUCGUUGAGUCCCAGCCGCCGAGAAAAGCCGCUAAACGUGGAAUCAUGCCUGCCCGUACCGCAAACCGACACUGGUAGACACGCAGAGCAUGCGCAGGUGAGCGAGGGAACCUCUGUUAAGGAACUCGGCAAAAUCGGCGCGUAACUUCGGGAGAAGCGCCGCCCGGGCCGGUGAACCCCCCGGCGGGGGGAGCCGGCCGGGGUCGCAGUGACCAGGCCCUACCGACUGUUUACCAAAAACACAGGUCUGUGCGAACGCGCAAGCGGACGUAUACGGGCUGACGCCUGCCCAGUGCCGGAAGGUUAAGGGGACGUGUCAGCGCCAGCGAAGCACCGAACCGAAGCCCCGGUGAACGGCGGCCGUAACUAUAACGGUCCUAAGGUAGCGAAAUUCCUUGUCGGGUAAGUUCCGACCCGCACGAAAGGCGUCACGAGUGGGGCGCUGUCUCAACAGAGGACUCGGCGAAAUUGCAGUGGCCGUGAAGAUGCGGCCUACUCACAGCAGGACAAAAAGACCCCGUGGAGCUUGACUGCAGCUUGCCAUUGCGACUGGGCAUGGGCUGCGUAGGAUAGGUGGGAGCCGGAGAAGCUGGGCUUGCGGGCUCGGUGGAGGCCCACUUGAAAUACCACCCUGCGCAUGCUGAGGCGCUCACCCCCGCCCGUGAACCGGGGGGGGGACCGUGGCAGGUGGGCAGUUUGACUGGGGCGGUCGCCUCCGAAAGGGUAACGGAGGCGCCCAAGGGUGCCCUCAGGCGGAAUGGAAACCCGCCGGCGCGUGUAUUGGCACAAGGGCGCUUGACUGCGAGACUGACCCGUCGAGCAGGGACGAAAGUCGGGCAAAGUGAUCCCACGGCACCGGGUGGAAGGGCCGUGGCUUACCGGAUAAAAGCUACCCCGGGGAUAACAGGCUAGUCUUCCCCAAGAGUUCACAUCGACGGGAAGGCUCGGCACCUCGAUGUCGGCUCGUCACAUCCUGGGGCUGGAGCCGGUCCCAAGGGUUCGGCUGUUCGCCGAUUAAAGUGGUACGCGAGCUGGGUUCAGAACGUCGUGAGACAGUUCGGUCUCUAUCCGCUGUGAGCGUUGGGGGAUUGCGAGGCGCUGACCCUAGUACGAGAGGACCGGGUUGGACUGACCGCUGGUGCACCAGUUGUCCCGCCAGGGGCAUCGCUGGGUAGCUACGUCGGGCCGGGAGAACCGCUGAAAGCAUCUAAGUGGGAAACCCUCCUCCAGAUGAGUCCCCCCCAUCAGGGCCCAGCCAGAGCAGCUGGUCGAUAGGCCGCAGGUGUAUGGGCAGUAAUGCCUUCAGCCGAGCGGUCCUAACGCCCGAGUGCGCUUUCAACU